Molecule: long non-coding RNA, 590 nt
Filed under: Ananas comosus (pineapple)
Lineage: Eukaryota; Viridiplantae; Streptophyta; Magnoliopsida; Poales; Bromeliaceae
Description: long non-coding RNA (ACOM_LNC026628)
Source: RNAcentral
UGAGUUUAAGGGAGCUUACGAGGCUCGCGGGACGCCAGCUGAUGCUUAUCUCUUUACAUGCCAACCUGCAGAAGGAAAUGGUGCUGGCAUCGUAAAUGAACCAUGCAAUAUAUAUGACCAAAACUACGCAGGUAUGUGUUUUCCUUUUAUCUUUUGGAGUUCCACUUAUAAUGUGUGGCUGAUGGAUGGAUGAUUCAUUAUGGAUGAAAAGGCAUGGAUGGAGCUUUGAAAUUUUGAUUGUGCUAUCCAACUGUAAAAUAUAUUUUGAUUUAUGCAUUGCUCAUUUAACAUUUUUUGACGGAAUAUUACUUUUAGAAACACGGAAACUAUGUUGUUCUCGAAUGAUAGAUUGUUUGAAUCGACGUUGGAUCGAUAUUGUUAAACAUAUAUAUGCCGAGUCCUUUCUAAGUGUUUUUGCUCGAGGGAUUUGAAGUGCUUACCCCAUUGCCAGAAGGGUGAGGGCCCAAGUAAUGACUGAGAAAGCUGCGGCGGACAGCAAGCUUGCCGGUUUCGACCGUGAGACGUCGAGUAAGCCGGUGAGCGAAGUUGCGGUGCCGACGACCCCGGCGAUGAGCGAGAAUAUCACGAAG